CGUUAACCUCUUCCUUGAGUUGGUAUUCGAAUUUGAUUUCUUCAAACCCGGCAUGAGCGAUUCUUCAAUUCCCAGAUUUCCAAUACAGUACUGACUACUGAGUUCCCAAAUUUCUUCCUCGAUGCCCUCUCAUGUCAUCCUAGAUCUCUUUCUGCCUCGACGAGUCGACGUAGAAGAAGAGAGAAGCUCAGGCCCUGAUUCUUCGUUCUGCGAACCAACCGUCGGGAUAUUACCUGCUUAGUAUUGCUGGCGUUAUGAAGGCAGUGCUCACAUUUGAUGAUGUAAGAGUAUGAGCAAUCUCUGGAUGCAAGGCCACUCUGGCAGACCUGAUUGUUGCAGGGAUUUUGAUCAAUGAUUCGAAUGGUGCUCCAUCAAAUGUCAAUUCAGUGUUGAGUAAUGAAACCUGGAUAUGCUGCAAAUGCAGCCUCCAAGGCAGCGGUGGACUCCAUAACCAAGGUGGUUUGUCGCCAAGUAGUCCUCUCAGCUGAUCAUCAUAUAUGGUGACCAAAACUACCCCGCAGUCUUCCCUGAAUCUGAAUGGGGCAUUUAGCAAGUGUAAUGGGUGGUAUGCGUGGAGUCGGUUGUGCGAUUGCCAUCAAUUGUUCGUGAUGGUUGAAGCAAGCAGUGUAAUUAGCUUCUCAGCUGAACAACACCUCAGUUUCACAAACACAAGUGGGUUGGAGCAGAUAUUUCAGACCUAUAUGAGGUGAAAUUCAUCUUUGACAAAGCCGAACAAGCACCUGGUGGCGGCCAUCGUCAACUGUGUUGGGGUUUUGGUCUUUUGGAUUCAUUGUCUCCAUCUUUGGCCUUCAUCACUGUACAGGACUGGGAUACAAUUUGACCACCAAAGAGGCAUUUUUGGCUUGUAGAGACUAAUAGUGAUGAUCGAGGCGGAAGAGUAAUAUUGAUGACAAUGGCAAUGAUCAUAACCUAUAGCGGGAUACCUUCAUCCACGCCGACUCAGAUUUUAUAUAGUAGUAAUAUCACGAUGCAGGCAAGCACGCUUAGGAUGAUUUCUUUUCACUCCAUCAAAGCCUUCAAAUUGCACGUACUGCAAAAGCUUUAACUCUACGUAGUUGUAUGUAUUGUAACUCCUAUCAUUAUUCUGGUGGAGCUGUGGAAGGAGUCCCAUUUAGAAUAGGAAUCCAACUUCGCUAAACUCCCAUACUAGCUUGAUUUAUCUAAUCCUUGAACGCAAGGGCUUCCCGAGUUUCAGGCGAAGAGUUGUACUAGAAUACUCUAUAUAAAUCCAAUUCCAA
Long non-coding RNA from Argentina anserina (silverweed cinquefoil), 1259 nucleotides. RefSeq lists it as uncharacterized. The record is from RefSeq and is a predicted model, not a curated record. The transcript has 4 exons. Lineage: Eukaryota; Viridiplantae; Streptophyta; Magnoliopsida; Rosales; Rosaceae.